GUAUGCCUACGGGGCGCAGCAGUAGGGAAUUUUCGUCAAUAGGCGCAAGCCUGAACGAGCAAUGCCGCGUGAACGAGGAAGGUCUUCGGAUCGUAAAGUUCUGUUAAAGGGGAAAAAGAGCGGAGAGAGGAAAUGAACUCCGAUUGAUAUUACCCUUCGAGGAAGUCACGGCUAACUACGUGCCAGCAGCCGCGGUAAUACGUAGGUGGCGAGCGUUAUCCGGAAUGAUUGGGCGUAAAGGGUGCGUAGGCGGCCUGCUAAGUCUGGAGUGAAAGGUACCGGCUCAACCGGUACAGGCUCUGGAA
This 305-nucleotide ribosomal RNA is filed under the name uncultured bacterium. RNAcentral describes it as "bacterial SSU rRNA". It matches the Rfam family "Bacterial small subunit ribosomal RNA", at positions 333 to 631 of the family's 1533-position model. The record is from RNAcentral.